RNAcentral lists this ribosomal RNA (402 nucleotides) under uncultured bacterium. RNAcentral describes it as "bacterial SSU rRNA". It matches the Rfam family "Bacterial small subunit ribosomal RNA", at positions 355 to 774 of the family's 1533-position model. The record is from RNAcentral.
UGGGGAAUAUCGGACAAUGGGCGAAAGCCUGAUCCAGCAAUACCGAGUGAGUGAUGAAGGCCCUAGGGUUGUAAAGCUCUUUUAGCAAGGAAGAUAAUGACGUUACUUGCAGAAAAAGCCCCGGCUAACUCCGUGCCAGCAGCCGCGGUAAGACGGAGGGGGCUAGCGUUGUUCGGAAUUACUGGGCGUAAAGAGUGCGUAGGCGGUUUAGUAAGUUGGAAGUGAAAGCCCGGGGCUUAACCUCGGAAUUGCUUUCAAAACUACUAAUCUAGAGUGUAGUAGGGGAUGAUGGAAUUCCUAGUGUAGAGGUGAAAUUCUUAGAUAUUAGGAGGAACACCGGUGGCGAAGGCGGUCAUCUGGGCUACAACUGACGCUGAUGCACGAAAGCGUGGGGAGCAAACA